This 483-nucleotide ribosomal RNA is filed under the name uncultured bacterium. RNAcentral's name for it is "partial 16S ribosomal RNA". It matches the Rfam family "Bacterial small subunit ribosomal RNA", at positions 28 to 507 of the family's 1533-position model. The record is from RNAcentral.
GACGAACGCUGGCGGCGUGCUUAACACAUGCAAGUCGAACGCUGAAGCUCAGCUUUUGUUGGGUGGAUGAGUGGCGAACGGGUGAGUAACACGUGAGUAACCUGCCUCCUUCUUUGGGAUAACGCCCGGAAACGGGUGCUAAUACUGGAUAUUCACUGGUCUUCGCAUGGGGGUUGGUGGAAAGGGUUUUUCUGGUGGGGGAUGGGCUCGCGGCCUAUCAGCUUGUUGGUGGGGUGAUGGCGUACCAAGGCUUUGACGGGUAGCAGGCCUGAGAGGGUGACCGGUCACAUUGGGACUGAGAUACGGCCCAGACUCCUACGGGAGGCAGAAGUGGGGAAUAUUGCACAAUGGGCGCAAGCCUGAUGCAGCGACGCCGCGUGAGGGAUGGAGGCCUUCGGGUUGUGAACCUCUUUCGCUCAUGGUCAAGCCGCAACAAUGGUUGUGGUGAGGGUAGUGGGUAAAGAAGCGCCGGCUAACUACGUG